RNAcentral lists this ribosomal RNA (800 nucleotides) under Bryochiton microscopicus. RNAcentral describes it as "SSU rRNA". It matches the Rfam family "Eukaryotic small subunit ribosomal RNA", at positions 60 to 870 of the family's 1831-position model. Lineage: Eukaryota; Fungi; Ascomycota; Dothideomycetes; Pseudoperisporiaceae. The record is from RNAcentral.
UAAGUAUAAGCAACUAUACGGUGAAGCUGCGAAUGGCUCAUUAAAUCAGUUAUCGUUUAUUUGAUAGUACCCUACUACAUGGAUAACCGUGGUAAUUCUAGAGCUAAUACAUGCUACCAACCCCGACUUCGGAAGGGGUGUAUUUAUUAGAUAAAAAACCAAUGCCCUCCGGGGCUCCUUGGCGAAUCAUGAUAACUCAACGAAUCGCAUGGCCUUGCGCCGGCGAUGGUUCAUUCAAAUUUCUGCCCUAUCAACUUUCGAUGGUAGGAUAGUGGCCUACCAUGGUCUCAACGGGUAACGGGGAAUUAGGGUUCGACUCCGGAGAGGGAGCCUGAGAAACGGCUACCACAUCCAAGGAAGGCAGCAGGCGCGCAAAUUACCCAAUCCCGACGCGGGGAGGUAGUGACAAUAAAUACUGAUACAGGGCUCUUUUGGGUCUUGUAAUUGGAAUGAGUACAAUUUAAAUCCCUUAACGAGGAACAAUUGGAGGGCAAGUCUGGUGCCAGCAGCCGCGGUAAUUCCAGCUCCAAUAGCGUAUAUUAAAGUUGUUGCAGUUAAAAAGCUCGUAGUUGAACCUUGGGCCUGGCUGGCCGGUCCGCCUCACCGCGUGUACUGGUCCGGCCGGGCCUUUCCUUCUGGGGAGCCGCAUGGCCUUCACUGGCCGUGUCGGGGAACCAGGACUUUUACUUUGAAAAAAUUAGAGUGUUCAAAGCAGGCCUUUGCUCGGAUACAUUAGCAUGGAAUAAUAGAAUAGGACGCGUGGUUCUAUUUUGUUGGUUUCUAGGACCGCCGUAAUGAUA